GAAAAAGAGAAGAGCUGGCUUAGAGCUCCCCUCUUAACUUGGUUGGCCAGUUGGCCUCUUUGAUGUUAACUAGCGUUGCUGGAUCCAUGUGGCCGGAGAGCCCGCUUCUCCGGGACGUCGGCGCUGCCGUGCUCACCGUAGGUGCCGGCAUGGCGGUGCUCGGCUUCUGGGAGGAGGUCGGCCACCGCGGCCUCUUGGACCGAGUAAGCUCUGCUCACCAUCUAAAUAAUACCUUUUUUUUUGUUUUUGUUUUUGUUUUUCUUCUCUUCCGGAUUGAUGAUUGUUUUGAUUUGCGCGGACAAAUUCUGAAGGUUUCCAUGCAAAUUAUUAAUGAGAAGUUGGUUGGUAUCUGGCAAUCUGCCUGUCUGUUGCUCUGCAUUUUCAGGAACUUUGCAGGAAGCUGGUGCACAUAAGCGCCGGGCUGGUAUAUUUCCUUAGGCCUUGUUUGGUAGACAGGGCUUUGAGGGGCUUUGGGGGGCUUAUCCCUAUUGGGCUUAAAAGCCCCAAAAUUCCCUAAGUUCUUGUUUGGCGUACAGGGCUUGACCGGGCCGGCCCCCCUAGAUCCCCUAAAAUCCCCCUCAAUCCACGGGGCUUCUGCGCAUCGAGGGGGAGCUCGCGGCUUUCCUGGAACGUGACGAGACGGAAGAAAGCAGCCGCAAGAACAACCGCAAUAGAAGCUGCCGCCGAUGUUGCCAUAGCGCCGCAGCCGCCGCCGUCGCCGUCGCCAUUAGCGCACCGCCGCCGCCGUCGCCGUCAACACCACCGCCGCCGCCGCCGCCAUCGCCGUCGGCUUCCUCUUCUUCUCCGGCAAGCUGCUCUCGCCGGAGAGGAAGGGGCUUGGGCUAGAAGGGGCUUUGAUGAAUGGAAGGGGAUUUGAGGGGAUUGGUGGAGGGCAGGGAAUCACCAAAUCCCCAAAAAUCCCCAGCCCCUUACGGGCUUGAAAACCACCUGUGCCAAACAAAGCCUUAUGGGGCCUUUGUUCAGGUAAACCAGACCACCAACGAAGUUCUUCAUUUGGCAUAAAGUGUGUGUACUACCUUUCUAACAAUUCUUACCCAAUCCCCAUCGCAGUGGAGAUGUCUAUGCUCCAUUUCUUGCUUCAGUUGUCAUUGUACUCAACAUCAUAAAGGUGACCUUGGUUGGCCUUGGUGUAGUUAAAAGAUGAUGACGUGGUUAACUCAAUGA
Long non-coding RNA from Aegilops tauschii subsp. strangulata, 1185 nucleotides. RefSeq lists it as uncharacterized. The record is from RefSeq and is a predicted model, not a curated record. Lineage: Eukaryota; Viridiplantae; Streptophyta; Magnoliopsida; Poales; Poaceae.